AUGGCCAGAGGAGCGCAAGCUCGUCCCCGGCUUGUACGCCUCUGUCCCCUGCGUUGCUGCCACGGGGAGAGAGUCGCGGCACUGAACGUCGUCUCCUUCGUCCACGCACGCGUCCACGAGCCUCGGAUCGACCUCCCCGACGACCUCUGCUUCCCCUGCUUCCUCUGCUUUACGGACGCCAAGUCGGAGGCCUCUUCUCGUCGCCGACCUCUCCUUCUUCUUCCUCGGGUCUACCUUGCCGCUGGCUAA
Molecule: ribosomal RNA, 249 nt
Filed under: Triticum aestivum (bread wheat)
Lineage: Eukaryota; Viridiplantae; Streptophyta; Magnoliopsida; Poales; Poaceae
Description: partial small subunit ribosomal RNA
Source: RNAcentral